Molecule: long non-coding RNA, 1491 nt
Filed under: Bemisia tabaci
Lineage: Eukaryota; Metazoa; Arthropoda; Insecta; Hemiptera; Aleyrodidae
Description: lncRNA ENSSSA3NGG010071
Source: RNAcentral
UUGCCCAGACGUAUAUUUUGUUCGACGGAACAUGUUUUGUUUCUUGUGUUAUUUGCUCUGUUUGCUUUCGUGUCAAGUCAAUUAAUAAUAAGUUGUAAAGUUCAGCAUCCUGGCAUUCCUGGCCGCAAUUCUCAAGUGAUCUGUGAUCAUCAUAUUACCUACUACUUCCUAGUUACUACCGCCUGCCAACACCAGAGACCAAGUUCUUCAAGAUCAGAAAGCACCGGAUGCGACAGAUGUUUACAUAAAAGAUGUAGUUGCAGAUUGGAUCAUUCAAGCUAAGACCAGGAGAAACCGGAAACUUUCACGAGCAUUGAAGAAGACUGAGAAUGUCAUUCAAGGAGAUGAGAAUGCUCAUAGCUAGAAUCCUGUAGACUGUAAUCCUGGAAUCCAAAAUCCACAAAAUGAAGAAAUCCUGUCAGCUGUUCACUCAGGCCUCGACAUAGCAUCUGUCAUGCUGUCUAGCUUAUAGAUUAUUGCUUAUGCAAUUUCACCGUCCCAGAAGAUGGACACUUUCUCCAAUCGUUCUUUUCUUUAUUUCCGUUUUUGUUAUAUUAUUUUUUUUUCGUUAUUAUUUUUGAUUUUUAUUUUCGUGUUAUCAGAUGAGGUACUAUUCUGAGAUACUAGAUGUAAUUUUCAAUUUAUUCCUUGGUUUCUCUCAGAACUGAAAAUAUCAGGGAUAAGUAAUUGUGUUAAUUGAGCAAAACAUAGCUUUAAUCAUUACUUACAUUAUUAUGCCACUUUUUCUAUGGAUACUCAUACAGAUACUUUAAGUUCCUUUUUUUUCAUUAACUACUAUUUUCUUCAUUUCCAUUCUUGUGAGAUUCUUUAAAUGUUUUUCUUGGUUUCUUUCAGAAACUGAAAUUAUGAGGGAUACAUAAUUUUGUUUUUUAUGUAAAACUUUGCCUUCAACAAUGGCAUUACUGUGCCUUUUUUCCUAUCGAUAUUCAUACAGAAACUUUAAGUUCCUUUUUUUUCUUUAACUGCCAUUUCCAUUCUUUUGAGAUAAAUUAGACUUUUUCAAUAUUUACGAAGUUUUCAUCGCAUACCUGUAAAUUGGAGAAAAACACUAAAAUUUUGACCCGAAUAUUGAACAAGUUGUUCGAAUAGUGCUGGGUCCACAUUAUUUUGCGGGGAAACAAAGUCAAAAGAAGUACUAAAAUUAAAUUAGAAUUUAUAAGUAUCAGAAUUUACUUUUAAAUUGUAAUUUAAUUUUUUUACUUCCUUUGGCUUUGUAUUCCUGCAGAAUAGUGUGGACCCAGCAAUAUUCUAACAACUUGUAACUUAGGUAAUGCUUGUUUCACACUGUGUUGACCUCAGUUUCCUUUGAGUUUUUUCUCCUUAUUCUCAUUCGUUGCUGGCUUAGGUAAAAUUAGCCAGCUAAUCAUUGCGAAGACGCUUUUAAAUAUUCUGACAAUUUUAAGCUACAACUUAAUUUGUUACAAUCUUUGUGCAUUUGUUCGUGCCUUUCCUGGAGUCUGAUAUUUAUUU